Molecule: non-coding RNA, 811 nt
Organism: Oryctolagus cuniculus (rabbit)
Lineage: Eukaryota; Metazoa; Chordata; Mammalia; Lagomorpha; Leporidae
Source: RefSeq, a predicted model, not a curated record
AUGGUCACGUGGCCGCGCGGCGUCGGGGCGGGGCUACGCCAUGGCGUCAGCGAUGGUGGCGUGGGUGGCAUGGCUAUGGCGCUCUGGAGCGGCGCUGUCUUUAUCCGCUGCCAUCGAGGGGCGCAGGCGGUAUCCGCCGGUCCCGGGCUAAGAAGGCGCAGCCGCGAACAGGUGCACGGCCCCGGGAGGCGAGAGGGCUGACCGCCGGCACGAUGCCCCGUCCAGGAACAGCCUCGGAACGCCCCGGGCCUGCCGUGGGGAAACGCGUCCCUGUGAGUCUCGCGUUCCUGUGGCCUUGAGAGAGUCGGGUGCCUGCUGCCCUUGGCCCCGGGGGUCUUUGCAACAGACAGCCUUGGAAUGGAGGAGGGUCCAGAAAGCCGCGGCUGCUUUGUUAUCCACAAGGAGAGGCGUCGGAGACGCCCACGGCCCCUGACACCGGCGCUGCUGCAUGGCUGCCCCAGCGCCUGGCACGAGCCACGUCGGCUGACGCCCCCAGGAUGCCAGAGCCGGAGGAGACCUGAAGAACGGUCCCCUCGGUGGCUGUCCGGCCGACCCGUGGGGCCUGUGCUCGGUCGCAGGAGGUGGUAACCGCCGGCCAUGUGUGGUGUCGCCGCGUCUAAACAGCAGGCCUCCGUGGUGUGUCUCAUCUGCGUCUCCUGUCGUGCAGUGGGACCAAGGCCUCCCGUGUGAGCAUCUGGUGCAGCUGCCGCGGUCUCAGCUUCCAGAACGAGGCGCCUGUCUGCACCCGGACCCACGCCCCCGGCGUCUCCGUGAAAAACAAGAACUACUUAAUAAAUACAAAAUCAAAGCG